AAAAGACUAAUCCUAAGCACAAAAUUAAAAGUUAAGAGUUGAAAAGGUCUGACCAAUGGGAUGCAAUCCAACAAACAAGAAUGUCAUAUAGAAAAACCACUUUCCCUUUGGACUUUGAAUCAAGCAAUAUCAACAGGCAAAUAGCAAUAUGGAGAUCAAGACAUCAAAUAAAUAUAGCCACAUCCAAUCAAGCAACUUCACAGCUAAUAGU
This 211-nucleotide long non-coding RNA is filed under the name Lathyrus oleraceus (garden pea). RNAcentral describes it as "Pisum sativum (pea) long non-coding RNA (PSAT_LNC035010)". The record is from RNAcentral. Lineage: Eukaryota; Viridiplantae; Streptophyta; Magnoliopsida; Fabales; Fabaceae.